Long non-coding RNA from Ostrea edulis (European flat oyster), 726 nucleotides. RefSeq lists it as uncharacterized. The transcript is spliced from 2 exons. The record is from RefSeq and is a predicted model, not a curated record. NCBI's taxonomy places the organism in Eukaryota, Metazoa, Mollusca, Bivalvia, Ostreida, Ostreidae.
GGUGGCGUCAUUUGUGUAGAAAACCACGAGCAGCCGAAAUUGAGUGCGAAUAUUACAUUCCGUGAAAGCUGAACCAACAAAGAAACAUCAUUGUUCUAGCCAGUUUCCUUAUAUUAACUUUUAGGAAAACCAAGAGGUUGAUAACAAUGGCUGAUCUGCAUAUAAUGACUGCUAGUUAUUGGCUGGUAUGCAGUGAAAGGGAGCUAAAAAGGAGUAAAAAGUUCAUAUCAGCCAGGUGAGAAUUAAUUUCUUUUUUGUGUGUUAUACAUAUGUAAUUCUUUUCUUUUGCUGCUUCAAAUCUUGUGUAUUUGAAAAUUUUCAGUCUAAUAUUUUGGCAAUGUUAUAGGUAGUGUGGCUUAAAUAAACCAGUGUUAAGGAAUAUCCAGUAAUGGCAUGACAUCAUGAGAGUUUGGCAUACCGACAUUCAGAUGAUUAAUGAUGAAACUGAAGACCUCAAGUGAAAGGCAUGGAAAAUGAUCCUGUUCCCAUAUACCUGAAAAAGAGGAGGGAUGCCACAAUAUUGAUAAUAGACUUUUGUCAAUUUGAGAAGCAAAGAUGUAAAAAAAAAAAAAAAAAAAAAAAAAAAAAAAAAAAAAAUAAUAAUAAUAAUGCUGAAAUUAUAAUUCAUGUAUUUGUUAAAAAUACUGUUCACUGUACAUACAUGUAUAUUUUUUUUAAACUUAUUUGGAAAUACAUAAAGUAAUUCAUAUUAAAACUGUGAAUGUA